Molecule: ribosomal RNA, 371 nt
Filed under: uncultured bacterium
Lineage: Bacteria
Description: bacterial SSU rRNA
Rfam family: Bacterial small subunit ribosomal RNA
Source: RNAcentral
ACGUAGGGUGCGAGCGUUAAUCGGAAUUACUGGGCGUAAAGCGUGCGCAGGCGGUUUUGUAAGACAGGCGUGAAAUCCCCGGGCUUAACCUGGGAAUGGCAUUUGGGACUGCAAGGCUGGAGUAUGGCAGAGGGGACUAGAAUUCCUGGUGCAGCAGUGAAAUGCGUAGAUAUCAGGAGGAAUACCGAUGGCGAAGGCAGGUCCCUGGGCUAAUACUGACGCUCAUGCACGAAAGCGUGGGGAGCAAACAGGAUUAGAUACCCUGGUAGUCCACGCCCUAAACGAUGUCAACUGGUUGUUGGACGGCUUGCUGUUCAGUAACGAAGCUAACGCGUGAAGUUGACCGCCUGGGGAGUACGGCCGCAAGGUUG